This 739-nucleotide long non-coding RNA is filed under the name Solanum tuberosum (potato). RNAcentral describes it as "long non-coding RNA (STUB_LNC007925)". The record is from RNAcentral. Lineage: Eukaryota; Viridiplantae; Streptophyta; Magnoliopsida; Solanales; Solanaceae.
AAGAGCAAUCCAAGUAGUAUUAGCAUAAUGUGAAAUCUUUGAGUAUGUUGAAAGAAAUAACAGGAUAAUAAAAUAUCUAAAAGAGGAGAUAAUUUAUUGAUUGAAGAAACUGAAAUACACCGCAUACCAGUCAAACUGAAAUCCAAAUGAGAAUAAUUUACUUCCUCCAUUGUUCUAAAAUGCACGUCAUACCAGUCUAAUCUGCAAUAGAGUCAAGACUAAAGAGUUAUUUUAGCUGGCAACUUUCCAUAAAAGAUUUACCCAUGAAAGAAAUGCAUGUUUGUAACUCUUGCCAAACAUAAAUAUCUAAGUAAAACAUCUCUCUAUCUCAUAGUUUUCCCUUUUCAAGGGUUGAACCCCUGAAGUGUGUUUAACCUACAUAUUAUGUGUUGCCUUCUUAUCAGGAGACCAAAGCCCAGGGGCUCUUCUCUUUCAUUCUAUUUUUUUUCAAAAACUUAUGCAGCGAAUGAUGACAAUUGACAAGUAGGCAAAUAACUUUUAGAGUUGAAUUGUCAACAAACCUCUCCAUCCAUCUGUUUUGUUCAGAUAUCACAGCAAAUGAAUAACUUUUCCCUCAUGUAACAACACAUCUUAUAUUGAUCUGUACAAUGGAAGAAUGCUGCAGACGAUAAAGUUAAUAACUAAACAAUGAAAAAGUACCUUAAAAAGACAAUAGAAGAUUGAAUCAUUUAAUUUAUGAACAAAUGUACCAGAUAAGGGACCAUGUUCUUCUUCACUA